UUUUAGAGAGCGAGCAAGAGAGAAACAGCAUGAGAGGGGAGAGGGUCAGAGGGAGAAGCAGGCUCCCCACUGAGCCCGGAGCCCGAUGUGGGACUCGAUCCCAGGAUCCUGGGAUCAUGACCUGAGCCGAAGGCAGACGCUUAACCAUCUGAGCCACCCAGGCGCCCUACUAAACAGCAUUUAAAAGUUAGAUUAAAAUUCACAGACUCUUCUAUUCUGUCUCUGUCCUUGGCCCUUUGCACCAAACCAAACCAAACCAAACCAAACCAAUCAAGCUUCAUAAAAAAGACCAGGUUUGGAUUUUGAAUCUAGAAUGCUUCGAACCAAGGGGAAUUACUUAUUUUCUCACUUUCAGUGCGUCUGUUUAUGGGUACCAGAUUCCAAUGCCAUUAGUUCGAAAGUGUGUUCUCACACGUGUUUACUCACUUGAUUGCCAGAGCACAAGGUAUCAAAUGUCGAGGAGACUGCUUAGGGUUACAGGACCCAGGACACCAUCACAGCUUCUUGUCUUUUGUCUCAGGGCCUGAGAAAAACCUUCUCAAGACAGUGUCCUCUAGCUCUUAAAUUAUCAUAUUAGUGGUACCUAAGUAUUCAGAACAAGCAUCAAAAUGUGCUACGAAACUGUUCACUUCAAUACACUCUCAAGAAAUGAAUAGUAAAGUUUCUAGGCUGUUUAAUAGCCUCAUUACUUGGAAUAACACUCCAUUCCCCAUUAAGGGACAAAUUAGUAUGACUCUCCUCUGCUCAACUUUUUUCACCUUAAAAUGGAAAACAUUUAAUUUUAGGUAGAGUUCUUGUUUCACAGGUUUUUCCUCCAGCUUGGAUGCUGCUGUCAAGCUUACCUCUGCGUUGACCUGUAAAGACUGAAAAGCAGGUGGAUAAUAGACUUGCUGCAUAGACUCCGAAGCAUGUCUCAGCUCUGCCAGGAUUGCUGACUUAGCACUCCCUCCCUCCACCUCUUUGCCUUUUCACUUGCUGCAAGAAAAGAAGUCCAGAGUCUCCUACCUCAAACAGACUUUUUGAAAAGGAUGCGGAAACAAGAGCCUGUUGCCAGUGGGAGCAAGACCCGCCAGUCCUGUUAACCACCGUGGUGGCUGGCCGGGACUGCCCGAUGGUGACAGACAUGAUUGACAGAGCUGGGCCUAACUUGGUGUGAAGGCCAAGGGCUCCAGGCCGAUGAAACACCUCUGGAAAUGUGCCCAGUGGAAACACAGAGCGGCAUGGGUUUCAUGCCAAAGACAUUCGGGAAUGGGUCCAAAAACAUCUUCUGCAAGAGGAAAUGAAAGAGGAAAUAACUUGUUAUUCCAAAGGGGUGAGAGGGCUGGGGUGGGAGUUGAAAGAAGGGUUGAAAAGAAUGAAAGAGAAGUGAGCUGUGAAGGUGAGGAUAUGCCGAAGAGGGGAAGUGAGCCGUUGGAGCUGGAAGUUUUAAUACGCUCACAAAGAUAAGGAGGAAGUAGGGACUGUUUGGAAGGUAAACACACCAUUAUGGAAAGGGCAGCCUUGCCAAGAAUAACAAAGGCGAGAUAAUUAAAGGAAAAGGCUAACAGAAAUGUGAGGAAAAAGAGAAAACGCUGAACAGGUCUUCAACAUAAGAACAUUCCAACUCAGCAUUUCAUAACUGACAACAUCAACAGGAAAAGGAAAGAAAUGCAUUCUGCAGCGACGCACACAGAUAUCCUACCCUGUGCUAUCCGUGUUAUCUCUCCGUUUUUUGUUGACUCAGAGCCUGGCACAGGACCUGGCUCCCAGGAAGUGUUCAUGAAGGUCUGGUGGAUGAAUCGUGGAAGCCGUGACUAGAAGAUGGAGGGAUGAACCAAUGAAGCUACAGCAGGACGGUUUUCAAAAUGGUUCUCUGUUGGGAAGCUCUCAAGUCAUUGUAUGGUGAAGUGAUUGAAGAAACAACUGUGUAGCCACAGCAGGUGUCAGUUCCUGGGGGCCCCUGUCACCCUGCCCGGCAGCUCCCGUUCGGCAGCAGAGGCAUUAAGAGCAGACUCCACAGAAGCCAGUACGGCCAAGCAUUUUCAAAGGCAAGGGCAGCCGCGUUUGCCCGUUUUUUCCUCUCUUUGUUCUGGUCUUUGUUUCUUCCUUCCCCCUUCUUCAUCUUUUCCUGGAGGGCUUUCUCAAGCUUGCAUUUUCUGAACCAUCUGAAACAGCUGUCUUCCGUGCUGGCUCUGUUCUAAGUGCUCUACCUCUCUUGGCCUGUAAGAGAAGACCUCUGAUACUCCCACUCUCUAGGACAGGGCAUCGAGGCACAGAGAUGGUAAGAAACCAGUCCGAGACUGCACACUUGGCCAUGGCUGCGUGAGCCAACGUCGCUUGCCUAUGGCCGCACAGGCAGCAGAACUGGGAUUCAAGCCUGGGUCUUUGGUUGCAGACCUCCAGCUCUUCUGAUCCACCAUGCUUCCUGCGAAAUAUGGUCCUUACAAUUAGGGGGGCCACCAAAUGGGGGCACGCGGCUCCUGUCUGUGACUUGUGUCUCUUGUAGAAACCCCCCCGCCCCCAGGUGGGAAACACUGACUUAAUCUCAGCGGAGCAUAUCAGCAGCUGUGGUGCAUAUGCUGUGACAGAAGGCACCAGAGAAGCACUACCUAUAUUUCAUACCCUCGUUCGAGUCUCCACUCUCCCAUUCACCUGCCAGCACAAGCAGAGUGGUUUUCUUUUGCACGAGGAUAAUCUGAAAUUCUACUUUUGCGUCAGAAAACUAAGAGGUUCAUAUAUCCUGCCUGGAAGGGAAUGUUUUUCAGCCUCAGAGCCUAUAAAAAUAUUGUGGCACGAACGGUUCAGCUGAAACAACAGAAUGCUGGGAAAAUGAGUCUGCAAAAUGUACUUGAAAUAUUAGUCAUCAACGUGGUAUAAAACACCAUUUCUCCCACAGAAGGAGGCCUUGCCUGGGAGCUAAGUGCACUUUUGCCUGCAGGAUCAGGUGGGGAUUGUAGGUUUAUGCUUUGUAAACUCUUAAUCUACUCAAACCCAUCUACUAAUAUGAAGAUUAAAGACUAGGGAAUACAUCUCAUUCCUCUGAGCUUCCUGAUAUUUCUUCAAAGGUGAUAGAAAACAGAAGUAUCCUUGUACUAGAAAGACAUGGGAAUAUAUAUAUAUAAUAAAAAUUGUAUAUAAGUAUUAUAUAAAAUUUAUACAUACAUAUUUUAUAUUAUAUAGAAAUAUAUAAUAAAAUUUGUAUUUAUAGCAUAAAUUAUAUUGGCCAAAGGCAGAUUCUUCACCAACUGAGCCACCCAGGCGCCCCUAUAUUAUAUGUUUAUGUAUAAUAUAAUUUAUAUUAUAUAAAUAUAAUAUAAAUAUAUUAUAUUUAUAUUAUAAAUAUAAAUUACUAUAAUGAUCCCAGGGUCCUAGGGUCAAAUCUCAUGUCGGGCACCCUGCUCAGCAGGGAGCCUGCUUCUCCCUCUGCCCGCCGCUCCCCCUGCUUGUGCUCUCUCUCUCUCUGUCAAAUAAAUAAAAUCUUAAAAAAGUAAACAUAAUAUCAUGCAUAAAUUAUAUUGUAUAUAUAAUUAUAUAUUUUUAUAAAUUUUUAUACAUUUUAUAAAUAUAAGUACAUAUAAUGUACUCUAUAUAUACAUAUAAGUGCCGGUGGUACAAAGGUUUGUUUUUAAAUUAACCUAAACAAUAGGUUCUGCAAUGAAUUUUUGUUUCAACAAAGACUUAAGACUAAAAAUGUCAGUAAAAGGAUAAAUACAAAAAGGUAUUGAAACGUGCUGAGGACGUUAGUUUGGGCGUCUUGUGGAGAUGUGGACUGGGGGGUGGGAUGUGGCUUUCAUUAAAAAUGAUGAUUAAAAAAAUAUUUUUUCCUUAAAAUCCCCUCGAGGGCUUCUGCAGAAUUUCAGCCCAAGUUGCCAAAGAUUUUUGUUAUCAGGGAGGCUUCUCAUCCUAAUCUGCUUAGGCAGUAGCUCUACAUUCCAUGCCUGCAUUUUGGGCAGGCGAGUUCAGGUUUUCUCCAGCAUUGGGCUACCCGUGAACUCUCCUCCCAUGCCUUCCAUGGGAGUGACUGUGUGCCUGCCUGGCGGGAUGACCGAUGGGCAGGGCCCUAAGCAGCUGGGGCGCCUCUCCCCCAGCCCGCUCCCAGCCGGCCCUGCACCCCCAGCAGUCGCUCUGGCAGGGGGCU
Molecule: long non-coding RNA, 4117 nt
Organism: Mirounga angustirostris (Northern elephant seal)
Lineage: Eukaryota; Metazoa; Chordata; Mammalia; Carnivora; Phocidae
Exons: 3
Source: RefSeq, a predicted model, not a curated record